UGAGUAACCUGCCCUGGACUUUGGGAUAACCCUCGGAAACGGGGGCUAAUACCGGAUAUGACAUGCUCUCGCAUGGGGGUGUGUGGAAAGUUUUUCGGUCUGGGAUGGGCUCGCGGCCUAUCAGCUUGUUGGUGGGGUGAUGGCCUACCAAGGCGACGACGGGUAGACGGCCUGAGAGGGCGACCGGCCACACUGGGACUGAGACACGGCCCAGACUCCUACGGGAGGCA
Molecule: ribosomal RNA, 230 nt
Filed under: uncultured bacterium
Lineage: Bacteria
Description: partial 16S ribosomal RNA
Rfam family: Bacterial small subunit ribosomal RNA
Source: RNAcentral